GGAUCAAUGAUGAGACCUCAUAGUAUCUUGAAGAAUAAUGAUGACUUAAAAAUCAUGCCCAAUAGGAUUAUGCUGAGGCCC
Molecule: small nucleolar RNA, 81 nt
Organism: Oryctolagus cuniculus (rabbit)
Lineage: Eukaryota; Metazoa; Chordata; Mammalia; Lagomorpha; Leporidae
Gene: SNORD115
Rfam family: Small nucleolar RNA SNORD115
About the family: HBII-52 is a member of the C/D class of snoRNAs, which contain the C (UGAUGA) and D (CUGA) box motifs.
Source: Ensembl